AAGGAUAAUCAUGCAUUUUGAAUCUUGAUUCUUGAGGCAACUUCCAAAGGGGCAGCGUUAGCGUGGUUUUGCAACUUUCAGCUUUCCCUUCAACUUCCAUUUCUCUGCAACGAGCAAACGAGCGAGCGAGAGAAGAAUUUUGUUGCAGCAGAGCUUGCGGGAGACACACAAAGAGAUGAGCGGAAUUUCGAGAUGCAGAUCGUCUGAUUUGGUUGCGUUUUCGGCUUCGAUUUCCCUACUUUUCGUCUCCGCCCUUUCUGAUGACUCCAGUACCAAAGAUAGUAAUGACUCUGGGAAUCAUCCAUCCUCCCACAGCAACACUGGCUCGAUGGUUGCCAUCAUACUCCUUGGGCUUUUGGUAGUUUUGUUAUUAUCAAUUUUCCUUUUCAAAUUAUGGCAAAAGAAGAGAAGAGAGGAGCAGUAUGCCCGACUUCUGAAAUUGUUUGAAGAAGAUGAUGAGCUCGAGGUUGAACUUGGUCUUCGGGAUUGAAGAAUAUCUGAAAUUCUAGUUCAAUGAAGUUGGGCUUAGAAACCAUUAUGUUGGAAUUAUUGCAUCUCAAAUGUCUAAAGAUGGUGAGGUGAUGAUAGUUUGCUGUAAGGUUAGAAUAUUUUUCUUGAUUUUUUUUGUUAAAAAAGAAAAAUCUUGGGGCAGCCAUAACCUUGUAACUCCUCCCAUAUUAUAAAGAAUCAUUUUAUCUGAUGGAGGUAAAAUACCAUUUUGUAAGAAGCGCUUGAAGGAUAUGAAUGAGUUCAGGUUUGUAUAAUUCAUGUCAAUUGUCAUAUAACAAGUUUGUUGAUGAAGGGUUUUGAUUAAGGCUUCAAAUAUUGUUCUUUUCUGUAAA
Momordica charantia (bitter melon) is the source of this 842-nucleotide non-coding RNA. The record is from RefSeq and is a predicted model, not a curated record. NCBI's taxonomy places the organism in Eukaryota, Viridiplantae, Streptophyta, Magnoliopsida, Cucurbitales, Cucurbitaceae.